Panicum virgatum (switchgrass) is the source of this 2374-nucleotide RNA transcript. It is a transcript of the gene named transcription factor GTE4-like, with no coding region annotated. The transcript is spliced from 6 exons. NCBI's taxonomy places the organism in Eukaryota, Viridiplantae, Streptophyta, Magnoliopsida, Poales, Poaceae. The record is from RefSeq and is a predicted model, not a curated record.
CUCCCUUGCACACACACAGCAGCAGCUGGCAGCCGUGCCCCCACCACCAGCAAGCCCCUCACCGAACCCCUCCCCGUUUCGCCUCCUCCGCCCAAAUCCCCAAAUCGCCGCCUCCGAUCCGCCGCCGUCCUCGAUCCGCCGGAGCCGUUGACCCGCCCAGAAUGGCCUCCGGGCCGCCCUCGCCGUCCGGCAAGCCCUACUCCCGCAAAUCCCACGGCAGCUCCAAGGCCCCCAGCGUCCCCUCCUUCGACGCCCACAGCAACGGCCCGCUCCUCCCCAGCGUCACCUUCUCGCUGCCCUCCACGCCCGCCUCCCGCCGGGAGCUCCGCCGCCGCCUCUCUGCCGAACUCGCCCAGGUGCGCGCCGCCUCCAAGCGACUCAACUCCCUCCCGGCUCCGGCCCCCUCCUCCGCGCUCUCCGCCACCGACCCCUCCACGCCGCUCCCCCCGCAGCCGCCGGCGUCCAAGCACAAGUCCAAGAAGGGCGGGGGAGCCCCGCACCCGCAGCCGCACCUCUCGGCGGAGGCGCGGCGCAAGCUCUACGCUCCCGUGUUCAAGAGCUGCUCCGCGCUGCUCACCAGGCUGAUGAAGCACAAGCACAGCUGGGUGUUCAACAAGCCGGUUGAUGCGAGCGCGCUUGGCCUGCACGACUACCAUACCAUCAUCACCAAGCCCAUGGACCUCGGCACAGUCAAAUCAAAGCUAGCGGCCGGGCAAUACAAGUCGCCACGGGAAUUCGCCGGGGAUGUGCGUCUUACGUUCCAGAACGCCAUGACGUACAACCCCAAGGGGCAGGACGUGCACUUCAUGGCCGAGCAGCUGCUGAACAUGUUUGAGGAGAAGUGGUCGGAGAUUGAAGCUGAGGUUGCGCAACUAUCACCACAGCCUCCUACACCGUCGUCGGCUGCACCCAGGAAACCAAAGGAGAUAGACAAUUCUAGGGUGUUAGAGAGGUCGGAUUCGACCGUCCAAGCUGCCGGGGUGGAGGCUACACCGAAGCCGCACACUGGCAGACCCCCAGUUUUAAAGAAGCCCAAGGCAAGGGAGCCAAAUAAGAGGGAUAUGACCUUCUGGGAGAAGCAGCGGCUUAGCAAUAACCUCCAGGAUUUGCCACCGGAGAAGCUAGACAAUGUUGUUCAGAUCAUAAAGAAGAGGAACCUGUCACUCAGCCAGCAUGAUGAUGAGAUUGAGGUUGAUAUUGAUAGCUUUGAUGUUGAAACAUUAUGGGAGCUUGACAGAUUUGUGACAAACUAUAAGAAGAGUAUAACUAAGAAUAAGCGGAAGGCUGAGCUUUCCGCAGUAAGGCCAGAUGAGGCCGAGGCCGAGGCUGAGCCUGAGCCUGAGCCUGAGCCUGAUCAAGAGCUGGAGAAGAUAGAGCACGCGAGGCAGGAUGAGGCAGAUCAGGAUCAGAUUCCUGCAGUACAAGAACCGAUUCCAGAACCAGAAGCAGUUGAUGCUGAACCACCUAAGGAAAAUGCAGCAGAUGACAAUGAGAGAUAUGUGGGUGAAUCAUCACCAGGUCAUUUGGAAGAUCCAAAGGGAGAGACUGCUGGUAGAUCAAGUAGUUCGGGAAGCUCUAGCAGUGACUCUGGCUCGUCCUCUAGUGAUACGGACACAGAUAGUUCAUCAGCAGAUGGCUCUGAUGCUGCACAGUCACCCAGAACGUAGCGUCUAUAGGCCAGAUGUUAAUGUGAGAUUGGAAAGGCCAUAACUCCUUAGUUCACCAAAGAUUCUAGCGUGAAAUUGUCGGCGAGAUUGUUGUAAAUUUUGCUUAUUUAGGAACCCUAACCAAUGCCAUCAGCCAUGAUGUUGUUUUGGUCUCUCAGUGGAUGCCUGGAAUGGCUCAUGCCCGAUUCAUCUGUACCACUAUUUGCAGUCGUGUACUUAUUGUAGAGUGCUGCGUUUACCUAGUCGUCGAGCUGGAAAGUACCUCACAUUGGAUAGGAAGAAACCUGCAAACUGGGGGCAAGUAAAACAAGCGGUGAGGUGAAGACCGGGAACCUGUAAGCCUCGCCCUGUUCGCACAUGUGUUUGAACUGGACCCCAUCUCUCAGUAAUGGAGAAAAGCUCCACCGUGACUGGUAAGGAAACAAGUCCAGCAGACCUGAAACUGAAACCCAAGCUUCAUCGAUGAGACGCCCUCCAGAAUGCAAAUGCUUCGCUCUUGCGGCCUGUUCUUGUUCGAUUUCCCUGCACUGCCGCGUUGCCGGCAAUCUUUCAAAUUUUCAAUGGUGAAGCUGAAUUUGUUGUUUUUCCGAUGGAGGUUGAUGGAGAAUCUGAGAAUCUGUUGUUUCAUUGUUUGGAAUGGUGAUCUGCCAUGUGUUACUAGGAGAGUAUUUCAGUAUGAACUGGAUGGAUUCGUAUGAAAUUUCUCA